ACAUGCAAGUCGUACGAGAAAGUCCGCUUCGGUGGAUCAGUAAAGUGGCGCACGGGUGAGUAACGCGUGGAUAAUCUACCCCUCAGUUGGGAAUAACGUACCGAAAGGUGCGCUAAUACCGAAUGACACUGCACAUCUUCUGUUGUGUAGUCAAAGAUGGCCUCUGCUUGCAAGCUUUCGCUGAAGGAUGAGCCCGCGUACCAUUAGCUAGUUGGUAGGGUAAUGGCCUACCAAGGCGACGAUGGUUAGCUGGUCUGAGAGGAUGAUCAGCCACACUGGAACUGAGACACGGUCCAGACUCCUACGGGAGGCAGCAGUGAGGAAUAUUGCGCAAUGGGGGCAACCCUGACGCAGCAACGCCGCGUGAGUGAGGAAGGUUUUCGGACCGUAAAGCUCUGUCGAGCGGGAAGAAAUGCAUGGUGGCUAAUAUCCAUCAUGCUUGACGGUACCGCUAAAGGAAGCACCGGCUAACUCCGUGCCAGCAGCCGCGGUAAUACGGGGGGUGCUAGCGUUGUUCGGAAUCAUUGGGCGUAAAGAGCGUGUAGGCGGCUGGAUAAGUCAGAUGUGAAAGCCCUGGGCUUAACCCAGGAAGUGCAUUUGAAACUGUUCAGCUAGAGUAAGGGAGAGGAAAGUGGAAUUCCUGGUGUAGAGGUGAAAUUCGUAGAUAUCAGGAGGAACACCGGUGGCGAAGGCGACUUUCUGGCCCUAUACUGACGCUGAGACGCGAGAGCGUGGGUAGCAAACAGGAUUAGAUACCCUGGUAGUCCACGCUGUAAACGAUGUUCACUAGGUGUUGGGGGUAUUGACCCUCUCAGUGCCGCAGCUAACGCAUUAAGUGAACCGCCUGGGGAGUACGGUCGCAAGAUUAAAACUCAAAGG
Molecule: ribosomal RNA, 879 nt
Filed under: uncultured Syntrophaceae bacterium
Lineage: Bacteria; Pseudomonadati; Thermodesulfobacteriota; Syntrophia; Syntrophales; Syntrophaceae
Description: bacterial SSU rRNA
Rfam family: Bacterial small subunit ribosomal RNA
Source: RNAcentral